Molecule: ribosomal RNA, 763 nt
Filed under: uncultured Streptococcus sp.
Lineage: Bacteria; Bacillati; Bacillota; Bacilli; Lactobacillales; Streptococcaceae
Description: bacterial SSU rRNA
Rfam family: Bacterial small subunit ribosomal RNA
Source: RNAcentral
GACGAACGCUGGCGGCGUGCCUAAUACAUGCAAGUAGAACGCUGAAGGAGGAGCUUGCUUCUCCGGAUGAGUUGCGAACGGGUGAGUAACGCGUAGGUAACCUGCCUGGUAGCGGGGGAUAACUAUUGGAAACGAUAGCUAAUACCGCAUAAGAGUAGAUGUUGCAUGACAUUUGCUUAAAAGGUGCAAUUGCAUCACUACCAGAUGGACCUGCGUUGUAUUAGCUAGUUGGUGGGGUAACGGCUCACCAAGGCGACGAUACAUAGCCGACCUGAGAGGGUGAUCGGCCACACUGGGACUGAGACACGGCCCAGACUCCUACGGGAGGCAGCAGUAGGGAAUCUUCGGCAAUGGACGGAAGUCUGACCGAGCAACGCCGCGUGAGUGAAGAAGGUUUUCGGAUCGUAAAGCUCUGUUGUAAGAGAAGAACGAGUGUGAGAGUGGAAAGUUCACACUGUGACGGUAUCUUACCAGAAAGGGACGGCUAACUACGUGCCAGCAGCCGCGGUAAUACGUAGGUCCCGAGCGUUGUCCGGAUUUAUUGGGCGUAAAGCGAGCGCAGGCGGUUAGAUAAGUCUGAAGUUAAAGGCUGUGGCUUAACCAUAGUACGCUUUGGAAACUGCUUAACUUGAGUGCAAGAGGGGAGAGUGGAAUUCCAUGUGUAGCGGUGAAAUGCGUAGAUAUAUGGAGGAACACCGGUGGCGAAAGCGGCUCUCUGGCUUGUAACUGACGCUGAGGCUCGAAAGCGUGGGGAGCAAACAGG